Molecule: ribosomal RNA, 303 nt
Filed under: Triticum aestivum (bread wheat)
Lineage: Eukaryota; Viridiplantae; Streptophyta; Magnoliopsida; Poales; Poaceae
Description: partial small subunit ribosomal RNA
Source: RNAcentral
AUGAAUGGCCUCGUGUACCCACUUAUCUGGGCCUGUUUACGCUUUUCCCAUUCGGCCCGAUUAAGGAGCAACCGUCCAGGUCGGCCUGCGGAGCAGCGGCCCGGUUACGGUUGGGACCUCUCACCGGUGAUCGGCAUCGUCGCCGUCUUCGUCACGUCCGGCGCAAUCUGCCGCUACCGUAUGUUUCUCGUGCUCUGUAGCAUGCCAGUAUGGCUGAGCUUUCCCGAUGGCAGCAUAGCUACCAUUAUAUAUGAAGAUGAUGUCCGCAUACCACACAAUGCUAGUUACAAAAAUAAGGUUUAA